Molecule: ribosomal RNA, 253 nt
Filed under: uncultured bacterium
Lineage: Bacteria
Description: partial 16S ribosomal RNA
Rfam family: Bacterial small subunit ribosomal RNA
Source: RNAcentral
UACAGAGGUGGCAAGCGUUGUUCGGAAUUACUGGGCGUAAAGGGCGCGUAGGCGGUCCCGUAAGUCCCGCGUGAAAGCCCCCGGCUCAACUGGGGAACGGCGCGGGAGACUGCAGGACUUGAGAUCGGGAGAGGGAAGCGGAAUUCCGGGUGUAGCGGUGAAAUGCGUAGAUAUCCGGAGGAACACCGGUGGCGAAGGCGGCUUCCUGGACCGACACUGACGCUGAGGCGCGAAAGCUAGGGGAGCAAACGGG